CGCCCGCAGGCCCCGGCUGCGCUGCAGGGCCGCGGCUCCCGGGGCCGUCGGUCCUUGCUGCUUUGGGAACGGCGACCUCCUGCUUCCCGGCGCUGGCCUGCUGAAACGCUGCAAGACCCUGAACUCCAGUUGUAUGAAGAGAGGGGCAGGCAGAGCCAGUGGUGUCAAAAACCCUCACGAUGGUGAAGGCUGCAAGAUUCUGACUUCUGGUAUAAGGCAAACAGCUCCUGCUCUGCCUGCAGUUUGGCAACUACAG
Long non-coding RNA from Manacus vitellinus (golden-collared manakin), 256 nucleotides. RefSeq lists it as uncharacterized. The record is from RefSeq and is a predicted model, not a curated record. NCBI's taxonomy places the organism in Eukaryota, Metazoa, Chordata, Aves, Passeriformes, Pipridae. The transcript is spliced from 3 exons.